GGGAUUAAAGAAAGGAGAGCAAGUGGAAGUUCCAUUGGUAUGAAUGGAACUUUUUCCAUGGAAUCUUGGUUACUAGGCUUCUAUCUAUUUUUCAAUAAAAGGUGGAAUACUUUUUA
Small nuclear RNA from Notechis scutatus (mainland tiger snake), 116 nucleotides. NCBI's taxonomy places the organism in Eukaryota, Metazoa, Chordata, Lepidosauria, Squamata, Elapidae. The record is from RefSeq and is a predicted model, not a curated record.